This 892-nucleotide long non-coding RNA is filed under the name Ornithorhynchus anatinus (platypus). RNAcentral describes it as "lncRNA (ENSOANG00000036716.1)". The record is from RNAcentral. Lineage: Eukaryota; Metazoa; Chordata; Mammalia; Monotremata; Ornithorhynchidae.
GGCUGGAAGGCGAGGGGGCGGGGCCGGAGGGGCGGGGCGGAGGCUGCGGGGCGGAGCCAGAGGCGGCCGGGGCGGCGGGAGCGGCGGGCACUCGUCCCCGCCUGGCGCCGCCAGCAGGACCGGCCGGCCUUCUGCGCUCCGGUCCGGUCCCUUCCCGUCCCGUCCCGUCCCGUCCCGUCCCGUCCCGUCCCGUCCCGGCCAUGCCGCCGGUCCCGGGCUCCGGGGGUCCGCCGCCCCGACCCCCCGCCCGGCCCCCGGCCCGCCCGCGCCCGCGGCUGCGGCUCCGGCCCCGCGGGGCGAGGAAGCGCCUGCUGCUGGCCCAGCUCUGCCUGCUGGGAGCCCUGCUCGCCCCGCUCGGGCCCCUCGGACGCUCCUCCGGACGCGCCCCCCCCCCACGGCUUUGACAUCCUGAGCUCCCCGGACACCUUCGAUAAAUGGGAUGGGAGGAGGUUGCUGGAGGCGGUCGAUCGGAACACUACUGAGAUUCCAGUCGACGCGGGCCACCUGCCCCGGAAGAACUGCACCGAACCAGAUGUUUGCUCUUCGGUGUACCCUGGGAAAGAGAAGCAGCAGUAUGGUUGAGGAGCAGCAGUGGUAGAAACAGUAGAGGUUACUGAGAGCCAAUUGAGUGCAAUGUACUGUAUUAAAGACUUGGUAAAUACAAAACAAGGAAUUGACACAUUCCUGGCCUUCAAGGAUAUUAUAUUCAAAUGGGGGAGGCAGACUUAAAAGUACUUGCAAAUAGAGUAAUCAAAAUUAAUAAUUGAAUGUGCAUGGGAAUAAACAUAUCAAUAAACACUGAGAAUGAGUAUAAAUACAGAACUGCUAAAGAUCACUGAUGGGUUUGUAUGACUUGGGAUGCUGGGAAAUGAUCAGGAAAGGUGUUCUGGAG